This 627-nucleotide ribosomal RNA is filed under the name Kockovaella sacchari. RNAcentral describes it as "eukaryotic LSU rRNA". It matches the Rfam family "Eukaryotic large subunit ribosomal RNA", at positions 47 to 663 of the family's 3401-position model. The record is from RNAcentral. Lineage: Eukaryota; Fungi; Basidiomycota; Tremellomycetes; Tremellales; Cuniculitremaceae.
UAAGCGGAGGAAAAGAAACUAACAAGGAUUCCCCUAGUAACGGCGAGUGAACAGGGAAGAGCUCAAAUUUGUAAUCUGGCGUCCUUUGGGCGUCCGAGUUGUAAUCUAUAGAAGCGUUUUCCGUGCUGGACCAUGUCCAAGUCCCUUGGAACAGGGUAUCAAAGAGGGUGAUAAUCCCGUACUUGACAUGACAACCAGUGCUCUGUGAUACGUUCUCUACGAGUCGAGUUGUUUGGGAAUGCAGCUCAAAAUGGGUGGUGAGUUCCAUCUAAAGCUAAAUAUUGGCGAGAGACCGAUAGCGAACAAGUACCGUGAGGGAAAGAUGAAAAGCACUUUGGAAAGAGAGUUAAACAGUACGUGAAAUUGUUGAAAGGGAAACGAUUGAAGUCAGUCGUGUCCAAGGGGUUCAGCCGGUUAUGCCGGUGUAUUCCCCUUGGACGGGUCAACAUCAGUUUGGACCGGUGGAAAAGGGUAGUUGGAAGGUAGCAGCUCCGGCUGUGUUAUAGACUUCUGCCGCACACACUGGUCUAGACUGAGGCAUGCAGCUCGCCCUUGUGGCCGGGGUUUACCCACGUACGAGCUUAGGAUGUUGACAUAAUGGCUUUAAACGACCCGUCUUGAAACACG